AUUGAACGCUAGCGGGAUGCUUUACACAUGCAAGUCGAACGAGUGGCGGACGGGUGAGUAAUAUAUCGGAACGUGCCCAGUAGCGGGGGAUAACUACUCGAAAGAGUGGCUAAUACAGAAUACUAUUGGAGCGGCCGAUAUAGGAUUAGCUAGUUGGUGGGGUAAAGGGUUACCAAGGCAACUAGCCGGAGCGGGUUUGAGAGGACGACCAGCCACACGGGGACGUAGAACCGGCCCAGACCCCUACGGGGGGCAGCAGUGGGGAAUUUUGGACAAUGGGGUAAACCCGGAUCCAGCCACCCGGCGUGUAUGAGAAGGCCUUCGGGGUGUAAAGUACUUUUGGCAGAGAAGCGGUAUCUGCAGAAUAAGCACCGGCUAACUACGUGCCAGCAGCCGCGGUAAUAC
This 405-nucleotide ribosomal RNA is filed under the name uncultured bacterium. RNAcentral's name for it is "partial 16S ribosomal RNA". It matches the Rfam family "Bacterial small subunit ribosomal RNA", at positions 30 to 526 of the family's 1533-position model. The record is from RNAcentral.